This 254-nucleotide ribosomal RNA is filed under the name uncultured bacterium. RNAcentral describes it as "partial 16S ribosomal RNA". It matches the Rfam family "Bacterial small subunit ribosomal RNA", at positions 524 to 776 of the family's 1533-position model. The record is from RNAcentral.
UACGGAGGAUGCAAGCGUUAUCCGGAAUGAUUGGGCGUAAAGCGUCCGCAGGUGGCAAUGUAAGUCUGCUGUCAAAGCGUCUGGCUCAACCAGAUAAAGGCAGUGGAAACUACAUAGCUAGAGUAAGGUAGGGGUAGAGGGAAUUCCUGGUGUAGCGGUGAAAAUGCGUAGAGAUCAGGAAGAACACCGGUGGCGAAAGCGCUCUGCUGGACCUUAACUGACACUGAGGGACGAAAGCUAGGGGAGCGAAUGGG